AACUCCCACAACCGCAACCGCAU
RNAcentral lists this non-coding RNA (23 nucleotides) under Arabidopsis thaliana (thale cress). Lineage: Eukaryota; Viridiplantae; Streptophyta; Magnoliopsida; Brassicales; Brassicaceae. The record is from RNAcentral.